CGUGAUACUAUAAUCAAUCAGUAAUGGUACAUAACGUAGUAUAGUAUGUGUCUCAGGUUGGGCCAGAAGAAGAGACAACUAUGGUUGAGAACCGGGAAAACAACAACAGCCACUCAAGAAGAUCACUCACUCUUCAUUUCAUUUCAGUAAUGGCUACCCAAACCCAAACACAGUCACAUCCAAACACCACCAUCGACCCAAACAGCGGCUUCUGUUCCCAUUCCAGAACCUUCCACACCCUCCGUCCAAACGUCCCUCUCCCUCCGCCCUCCCACCCCCUCUCCCUCACCGACUACGCCUUCUCCCUCCUCCCCGCCGCCGCCACCACCACCUCCGCCCUCAUCGACGCCGCCACCGACCGCCACCUCUCUUACUCUCUCCUCCUCCGCCAAGUCCAAUCCCUCGCCUCCUCUCUCCAAUCCCUCACCCCUCUCUCCAAAGGCCACGUGGCACUCAUCCUCACCCCAUCCUCCCUGCACGUCCCCGUACUCUACUUCUCCCUCCUCUCCCUCGGCGUCACCAUCGCCCCCGCCAACCCCCUCAGUUCCCUAUCCGAGUUGACUCACAUCGUCAAACUCGCCAAACCCGCCAUCGCGUUCUCCACCUCGAACGCCGCGAAAAACAUUCCCUCCCUCAAAUUCGGCACAAUCCUCCUCGAUUCCCCGUUCUUCCUCUCCAUGCUCGACGACGACGAAACCGUUAACAGAGACUCGCGUGCUCACCGAGUCGAAGAAGUGAGUCAGUCUGACUCGGCGGCGAUUCUAUUCUCCUCUGGCACCACGGGGCGCGUGAAGGGCGUGCUCCUCACGCACCGCAACUUCAUCACGCUGAUCGGAGGGUUCUAUCACCUCAGAAACGUGGCGGAUGGUGACCCUCACCCGGUGUCGCUCUUCACGCUGCCGCUGUUCCACGUGUUCGGGUUCUUCAUGCUGGUCAGGGCCAUCGCCGUCGGGGAGACGCUCGUGUUCAUGCAGAGGUUCGAUUUCGAAGGGAUGCUAAAGGCUGUGGAGAGGUAUGGAAUCACGUACAUGCCGGUGUCGCCGCCGCUCGUGGUGGCGCUGGCGAAGUCGGAACUCGUGAAGAAGUAUGAUCUCAGCUCGCUACGGUAUUUGGGCUGUGGCGGCGCGCCGCUCGGGAAGGAAGUCGCCGACGACUUCAGAGGCAAAUUCCCUAACGUGGAAAUUGGGCAGGGAUAUGGUUUGACUGAAAGUGGAGGAGGGGCAGCUAGAGUGUUAGGGCCUGAUGAGUCUAAGCGCCAUGGUUCUGUGGGUCGACUAGCAGAAAAUAUGGAGGCCAAGAUAGUGGACCCUGUUACUGGAGAGGCAUUACCUCCUGGCCAAAAAGGGGAGCUCUGGUUGCGAGGUCCAACAAUCAUGAAAGGUUAUGUAGGAGAUGAGAAGGCGACAGCUGAAACAUUGGAUUCAGAAGGGUGGCUGAAGACGGGAGAUCUUUGUUAUUUUGACUCUGAUGGCUUCCUCUACAUUGUAGAUAGACUGAAGGAAUUGAUCAAAUACAAAGCUUAUCAGGUUCCCCCUGCUGAAUUGGAACAUAUACUACACACCAAUCCCGAAAUUGCUGAUGCUGCAGUAGUUCCGUAUCCUGAUGAAGAGGCAGGGCAGAUUCCAAUGGCCUUUGUAGUAAGAAAACCUGGAAGCAACGUCACUGCAGAUCAGGUCAUGGAGUUUGUGGCAAAGCAGGUUUCUCCAUACAAGAAGAUACGACGAGUUUCUUUUAUCAAAUCUAUCCCAAAAUCUCCGGCUGGGAAAAUUUUGAGAAGAGAAUUAGUUGAUUAUGCACUAUCUAGUGGUUCAUCCAAAUUGUGAUCAAGAAAAAAGCAUGGAGAGCAGCACUUAACACGUGCAACAUUUUUUUCUUUAGGGAUUGCCUUGUUAUGAUACAGAUUAAUGUACCUCGCCUCGAAACUAUUGUGACCUGUUCAGAUGCAACAAAUGCACGAUAUCGUGUGAAGCACCUGGCUUAUCAUGAGUGUAGGAAAAUUUUACUACUUUUGGAGUUUUGGAAUCUCAGGCAAUACAUGCUGCACACAGGACACAAAAAAGGUGCAUUGCUAUAGAAAGGAAAACAUUCUCAUGAUGAUAUUUAAAUGGUUAUUGUAAUUCAACAAGUUUAAGACGUGUUGGGGUAGGAGUCUUGAUAUUUUGUUUUUCUUUAUAACUUUACACGCGCAGUUUGUUAGACUUUACAGUACAGGUGUUGGGAUUUUUUUUUUGAUAUGCCAUGAAUGGCGUUAGAGUACCCUUAAAUUGCACUCCAGGUGUAUGAUAACAUCUGUAAUUUGUGCAUUUCUCCCAAUUUCAUUUGUAAUUUUCAAAUUUAAAGUUCCUAAAUUUAAUUUAAUAUAGUUUGAUUGAAUCAA
RNA transcript from Glycine soja, 2377 nucleotides. It is a transcript of the gene named 4-coumarate--CoA ligase-like 9, with no coding region annotated. NCBI's taxonomy places the organism in Eukaryota, Viridiplantae, Streptophyta, Magnoliopsida, Fabales, Fabaceae. The record is from RefSeq and is a predicted model, not a curated record. The transcript is spliced from 8 exons.